UGGGGAAUAUUGCACAAUGGGCGCAAGCCUGAUGCAGCAACGCCGCGUGAACGAUGAAGGUCUUCGGAUCGUAAAGUUCUGUUGCAGGGGAAGAUAAUGACGGUACCCUGUGAGGAAGCCCCGGCUAACUACGUGCCAGCAGCCGCGGUAAUACGUAGGGGGCUAGCGUUGUCCGGAAUCACUGGGCGUAAAGGGUUCGCAGGCGGAAAUGCAAGUCGGGUGUAAAAGGCAGUAGCUUAACUACUGUAAGCAUUUGAAACUGCAUAUCUUGAGAAGAGUAGAGGUAAGUGGAAUUUUUAGUGUAGCGGUGAAAUGCGUAGAUAUUAAAAAGAAUACCGGUGGCGAAGGCGACUUACUGGGCUCAUUCUGACGCUGAGGAACGAAAGCGUGGGUAGCAAACAGG
RNAcentral lists this ribosomal RNA (403 nucleotides) under Verrucomicrobiota bacterium. RNAcentral describes it as "Verrucomicrobia bacterium partial 16S ribosomal RNA". It matches the Rfam family "Bacterial small subunit ribosomal RNA", at positions 355 to 776 of the family's 1533-position model. The record is from RNAcentral. Lineage: Bacteria; Pseudomonadati; Verrucomicrobiota.